AGCGAACGCUGGCGGCAGGCCUAACACAUGCAAGUCGAACGAACUCUUCGGAGUUAGUGGCGGACGGGUGAGUAACACGUGGGAACGUGCCUUUUGGUUCGGAAUAACUCAGGGAAACUUGUGCUAAUACCGAAUGUGCCCUUCGGGGGAAAGAUUUAUCGCCAUUAGAGCGGCCCGCGUCUGAUUAGCUAGUUGGUGAGGUAACGGCUCACCAAGGCGACGAUCAGUAGCUGGUCUGAGAGGAUGACCAGCCACACUGGGACUGAGACACGGCCCAGACUCCUACGGGAGGAAGCAGUGGGGAAUCUUGCGCAAUGGGCGAAAGCCUGACGCAGCCAUGCCGCGUGAAUGAUGAAGGUCUUAGGAUUGUAAAAGUCUUUCACCGGGGACGAUAAUGACGGUACCCGGAGAAGAAGCCCCGGCUAACUUCGU
RNAcentral lists this ribosomal RNA (432 nucleotides) under uncultured bacterium. Its description in RNAcentral is "partial 16S ribosomal RNA". It matches the Rfam family "Bacterial small subunit ribosomal RNA", at positions 29 to 506 of the family's 1533-position model. The record is from RNAcentral.